AGGGACAAGCUCAAAUUUUAAAUCUGUUGGGUAUCACCUAACCGAGUUGUAAUUUGAAGAGGCGUUUUCAGCGUUUUUUGAUCAGUCCAAGUCCUUUGGGAUAAGGCAUCAUGGAGGGUGAGAAUCCCGUUCGGCUGAUCGAAGUUCGUUUUAUGAUACGUCUUCU
This 166-nucleotide ribosomal RNA is filed under the name Glomus sp. RNAcentral describes it as "partial large subunit ribosomal RNA". It matches the Rfam family "Eukaryotic large subunit ribosomal RNA", at positions 99 to 259 of the family's 3401-position model. Lineage: Eukaryota; Fungi; Glomeromycota; Glomeromycetes; Glomerales; Glomeraceae. The record is from RNAcentral.